UUCCCCUAGUAACGGCGAGUGAAGAGGGAAAAGCCCAGCACCGAAGCCUGCGGCAGUUUUGCUGUUAGGCAAUGUGGUGUUUAGGCCGGCUCGCGGGAUUGCCACUCCACUCGAAGUCCAGCAUUGAGUAUGGUCACUGGAAUUGGCCCAGAGAGGGUGAAAGGCCCGUACGGGUGGAGUUUCAGACAAGUCAGGCAAUUCACCAGGUCGACCUUCGAGUCGGGUUGUUUGAGAAUGCAGCCCAAAGUGGGUGGUAAACUCCAUCCAAGGCUAAAUACUAGCACGAGUCCGAUAGCGAACAAGUACCGUGAGGGAAAGUUGAAAAGUACUUUGAAGAGAGAGUAAACAGUACGUGAAGCCGCAUGCAGGUAAACGGGUGGCGCCAAGCUGCGGGCUUGGAGAAUUCAGUUGGCUAGGUUGCAUGAUGCGCCUGACGCGUCUAUCGGUCGGAAUAAGCAGUGAUAGUCCACUGGUAAACGGUGGGCCCGGUCGCAAGACUGGGAUAUGUGUACCGAGCGGAAGCCGGAGCAUGCUAUCUAUCUGUUGGACCGCCUAGUCAGUGCACUUUCUCUAUGGCCAACACCACGACCGGUAGUAUUGCCAGUCUGCUGUAGCCAAGUCGUAUCUGAUGGGUCCUUGUGGCUAAUUGGGUGCGAUCACAGGCAAAUCCAGUGAACGGCGUAGAGUGGCUCUUCGGGGACGCUUUGCGUGUUAUCGGUAACUGGUUGUGAUCGGGUCGCUUGAUGGCGCGGUAACCGUUGUCAGGUGGCCUGGUGGGCUAUGGUGGUAAGAAUAACUGUGCAAGGUACCGGGGUUAGCGACCUCAAUUGCUAUCUGCACGCACGUUGCCUAGUGUAAUGUGGGGAUGGCGUAACCGUGGUCUGCCUGUUGUUGAGUCUGAUUGUCGUGUCGCCCGCAAAAAGUGGGCCCGGCAGUGGCUUGAUGCGGGAUGGGCUGUGGGCGUUGUCUCUGGUGUGGACUGUAGUGGGUCUGAUAGUCAGUGGUGCGGCGGUAGGCUAGCUUCCCGACCCGUCUUGAAACACGGACCAAGGAGUUUAACAUGUAUGCGAGUCAAAGGGUCCUACGAAACCCCAAGGCGCAGUGAAAGUGAAGCUUCGACUUGUCUCGGAGUGUGGUGAGAUCCUGCUGUUACUCGCAUCAGCCUUGGUGUCAGCAUCAGGCUUAAGAGCGGUAGGCGCAUCACCGGCCCGUCUCAUGAUGUGGUCAUUGGAUGUAUGCAGUUGCUGCGCAA
This 1252-nucleotide ribosomal RNA is filed under the name Anthobothrium sp. MS05-36-1. RNAcentral's name for it is "eukaryotic LSU rRNA". It matches the Rfam family "Eukaryotic large subunit ribosomal RNA", at positions 75 to 797 of the family's 3401-position model. Lineage: Eukaryota; Metazoa; Platyhelminthes; Cestoda; Tetraphyllidea. The record is from RNAcentral.